AUGAAGGGACAGGUGAAUGCAGAGAAGCUCCUGGCAGGGUUGCCUGGAUUUUUUCAAGGCUAUGAGUUGCACAAUCGAGCAGAAGAUUCUUUGAAGCUACAAGAAGAGGUCAAAGCAGCAUGUUCACAAGGUGCUGAUCUUCUGCCUCUGUGUCCUCUUGAGAGUCAUGGGGCAAGUUUUCCCAAUCUAUAGACUGCUCCUGCCACCCCAUGUAAGUAAAAGCUUGAUCUUGUAAAUCAACCAGUGAAUAAAACUUGUCAAGAUUUUUAUUCCUGAGUGAUC
This 282-nucleotide long non-coding RNA is filed under the name Phascolarctos cinereus (koala). RNAcentral's name for it is "lncRNA (ENSPCIG00000034813.1)". The record is from RNAcentral. Lineage: Eukaryota; Metazoa; Chordata; Mammalia; Diprotodontia; Phascolarctidae.